RNAcentral lists this small RNA (585 nucleotides) under Pongo abelii (Sumatran orangutan). RNAcentral's name for it is "retained intron". The record is from RNAcentral. Lineage: Eukaryota; Metazoa; Chordata; Mammalia; Primates; Hominidae.
GAAUGUCCCUGAGAACCAGAAGGGCCAGCGCUCAGCUGCUCUGGCACCUAGCUGCAGGGAUGGCUUCCUGGGCUAAGGGCAGGAGCUACCUGGCGCCUGGUUUGCUGCAGGGCCAAGUGGCCAUCGUCACCGGCGGGGCCACGGGCAUCGGAAAAGCCAUCGUGAAGGAGCUUCUGGAGCUGGGGAGUAAUGUGGUCAUUGCAUCCCGUAAGUUGGAGAGAUUGAAGUCUGCAGCAGGUGAACUGCAGGCCAACCUACCUCCCACAAAGCAGGCACGAGUCAUUCCCAUACAGUGCAACAUCCGGAACGAGGAGGAGGUGAAUAAUUUGGUCAAAUCUACCUUAGAUAUUUUUGGUAAAAUCAAUUUCUUGGUGAACAAUGGAGGAGGCCAGUUUCUUUCCCUUGCUGAACACAUCAGUUCUAAGGGAUGGCACGCUGUGCUUGAGACCAACCUGACGGGUACCUUCUACAUGUGCAAAGCAGGCAAGUACCAUCAGUAUCCACAAGUCACUAUGUCUUUAUUUAGAGAUCUCAGGAAUCCUAUUAGGGACUCAGAAGCCCCAUGUCAUUAACAUUUAUUGGCUG